Molecule: ribosomal RNA, 485 nt
Filed under: uncultured bacterium
Lineage: Bacteria
Description: bacterial SSU rRNA
Rfam family: Bacterial small subunit ribosomal RNA
Source: RNAcentral
GAUGAACGCUAGCGGCAGGCUUAACACAUGCAAGUCGAGGGGUAUAGUAGCAAUACUAGAGACCGGCGCACGGGUGCGUAACGCGUAUGCAACCUACCUUUUACAGAGGGAUAGCCCAGAGAAAUUUGGAUUAAUACCUCAUAGUGUUAUUGAAUGGCAUCAUUUAAUAACUAAAGUUCCAACGGUAAAAGAUGGGCACUGCGUCCUAUUAGCUAGAUGGUAAGGUAACGGCUUACCAUGGCAACGAUAGGUAGGGGUCCUGAGAGGGAGACUCCCCCACACUGGUACUGAGACACGGACCAGACUCCUACGGGAGGCAGCAGGUGGGGUAAUUUUGGACAAUGGGGGCAACCCUGAUCCAGCAAUGCCGCGUGUGUGAAGAAGGCCUUCGGGUUGUAAAGCACUUUUGUCAGGAACGAAACGGCGAGGGCUAAUAUCCUUUGCUAAUGACGGUACCUGAAGAAUAAGCACCGGCUAACUACGUG